CGGGUAACGGGGUGUUAGGGCACGACACCGGAGAGGGAGCCUGAGAAACGGCUACCACAUCCAAGGAUGGCAGCAGGCGCGCAAAUUACCCAAUCCCGACACGGGGAGGUAGUGACAAUAAAUAACAAUACGGGGUUCUUUCGGAUCUCGUAAUUGGAAUGAGUACAAUUUAAAUCUCUUAACGAGGAACAAUUGGAGGGCAAGUCUGGUGCCAGCAGCCGCGGUAAUUCCAGCUCCAAUAGCGUAUAUUAAAGUUGUUGCAGUUAAAAAGCUCGUAGUUGAAUUUCGGGGUUAGCAGGUCGGUCGUGCCAUUGGUAUGAACUGGUCUCGCUGAUCCCUCCCUCUUGACGAACUGUGAUGCCAUUAAUUUGGUGUCGCAGGGAAUCAGGACUGUUACUUUGAAAAAAUUAGAGUGUUUAAAGCAGGCUUACGCUUGAAUACAUUAGCAUGGAAUAAUGAAAUAGGACGUUUGAUCCUAUUUUGUUGGCUUCUAGGAUUGACGUAAUGAUUAAUAGGGAUAGUUGGGGGCAUUAGUAUUCAAUUGUCAGAGGUGAAAUUCUUGGAUUUAUUGAAGACUAACUACUGCGAAAGCAUUUGCCAAGGAUGUUUUCAUUAAUCAAGAACGAAAGUUAGGGGAUCGAAGACGAUCAGAUACCGUCGUAGUCUUAACCAUAAACUAUGCCGACUAGGGAUCGGAUGAUGUUAAUUUUUUAAUGACUCAUUCGGCGCCUUACGG
RNAcentral lists this ribosomal RNA (736 nucleotides) under uncultured fungus. RNAcentral's name for it is "SSU rRNA". It matches the Rfam family "Eukaryotic small subunit ribosomal RNA", at positions 356 to 1093 of the family's 1831-position model. Lineage: Eukaryota; Fungi. The record is from RNAcentral.